AUACGGAGGAUCCGAGCGUUAUCCGGAUUUAUUGGGUUUAAAGGGUGCGCAGGCGGCCCUUUAAGUCAGCGGUUAAAUCGUGGGGCUCAACCCCAUUCUGCCGUUGAUACUGGGUGGCUUGAUUGCGGUCGAGGUUGGCGGAAUUCGUUGUGUAGCGGUGAAAUGCAUAGAUAUGACGAAGAACACCGAUUGCGUAGGCAGCUGACUAGACCGCAAAUGACGCUCAUGCACGAAAGUGCGGGGAUCGAACAGGAUUAGAUACCCUGGUAGUCCGCACAGUAAACGAUGAAUACUUGUUUUCGGCGAUAUAAUGUCGGAGGCAAAGCGAAAGCGAUAAGUAUUCCACCUGGGGAGUACGCCGGCAACGGUGAAACUCAAAGGAAUUGGCGGGG
Molecule: ribosomal RNA, 392 nt
Filed under: uncultured bacterium
Lineage: Bacteria
Description: partial 16S ribosomal RNA
Rfam family: Bacterial small subunit ribosomal RNA
Source: RNAcentral